RNAcentral lists this ribosomal RNA (400 nucleotides) under uncultured bacterium. RNAcentral describes it as "bacterial SSU rRNA". It matches the Rfam family "Bacterial small subunit ribosomal RNA", at positions 356 to 773 of the family's 1533-position model. The record is from RNAcentral.
GGGGAGUAUUGGACAAUGGGGGAAACCCUGAUCCAGCCAUGCCGCGUGAGUGAUGAAGGCCUUCGGGUUGUAAAGCUCUUUUAGCGGGGAAGAUAAUGACGGUACCCGCAGAAUAAGCCCCGGCUAACUUCGUGCCAGCAGCCGCGGUAAGACGAAGGGGGCUAGCGUUGUUCGGAAUUACUGGGCGUAGAGGGCGCGCAGGCGGCUCUACAAGUCAGGCGUUAAAGACCCAGGCUCAACCUGGGGAAUGCUCUUGAUACUGUAGGGCUUGAGAUCGGAAGAGGAGAGUGGAAUUCCCAGUGUAGAGGUGAAAUUCGUAGAUAUUGGGAAGAACACCAGUGGCGAAGGCGGCUCUCUGGUCCGAUUCUGACGCUGAGGCGCGAAAGCGUGGGGAGCAAAC